This 86-nucleotide non-coding RNA is filed under the name pig gut metagenome. RNAcentral's name for it is "TPP riboswitch (THI element)". It matches the Rfam family "TPP riboswitch aptamer (THI element)", at positions 8 to 91 of the family's 105-position model. Rfam says of the family: Vitamin B(1) in its active form thiamin pyrophosphate (TPP) is an essential coenzyme that is synthesised by coupling of pyrimidine and thiazole moieties in bacteria. The previously detected thiamin-regulatory element, thi box was extended, resulting in a new, highly conserved RNA secondary structure, the THI element, which is widely distributed in eubacteria and also occurs in some archaea. Analysis of operon structures identified a large number of new candidate thiamin-regulated genes, mostly transporters, in various prokaryotic organisms. The record is from RNAcentral.
AUUAUUAGGGGUGCCAACCCGCCUUGCGGUAGGCUGAGAUCAUACCCUUUGAACCUGAUCCGGGUAAUACCGGCGUAGUGAAAAUU